Molecule: non-coding RNA, 45 nt
Organism: Schistosoma rodhaini
Lineage: Eukaryota; Metazoa; Platyhelminthes; Trematoda; Strigeidida; Schistosomatidae
Source: Rfam
AUCCAGCUGACGAGUCACGAACAGGAUGAAACGCGCGUUCUGGAU